CAAUAGCGUAUAUUAAAGUUGUUGCAGUUAAAAAGCUCGUAGUUGGAUUUGUGGCGUACGGUGUGUUCCGGGCACUUGUUGUCUGAGUAACCUGCUGUUGCCAUCCUUGGGUGGAACCUGUGUGGCAUUAGGUUGUCGUGCAGGGGAUGCCCAUCAUUUACUGUGAAAAAAUUAGAGUGUUCAAAGCAGGCUUAUGCCGUUGAAUAUAUUAGCAUGGAAUAACGAGAUAGGACUUUUUUGCUAUUUUGUUGGUUUGCGCAAGAAGGUAAUGAUUAAUAGGGACAGUUGGGGGUAUUCGUAUUCCAUUGUCAGAGGUGAAAUUCUUGGAUUUUUGGAAGACGAACUACUGCGAAAGCAUUUACCAAGGAUGUUUUCAUUAA
RNAcentral lists this ribosomal RNA (380 nucleotides) under uncultured eukaryote. RNAcentral's name for it is "partial 18S ribosomal RNA". It matches the Rfam family "Eukaryotic small subunit ribosomal RNA", at positions 592 to 976 of the family's 1831-position model. The record is from RNAcentral.